ACCCCAUGGCGUUCAAGCCGGAGAGGUUCUUGGGCAGCAGUGGAGGAGAAGAAGGGUUCGAUUUGAGGGGGAGCAGGGAGAUUAAGAUGAUGCCGUUUGGGGCAGGGAGGAGGAUCUGUCCAGGGUCGGGAUUGGCGGUGCUUCACCUGGAGUACUUUGUGGCGAAUUUGGUGUGGAAAUUUGAGUGGAGAACUGUGGAGGGAGAUGACGUGGACCUGUCAGAGAAGCAGGAGUUUACUAUAGUGAUGAAGAAUCCAUUGCAUGCCCACGUAAUCCCUAGAAUUUAAUACGUGUGAGAAUUCUGUACUAAUUAUUCGGUGCAUAUUCAACCGUUGAAUCUAUCCAUGUAUGCUUUUCAUUGAUUAUGUAAUUUUGAAAAUUUAGAUUUUUAGUUUACUAGUCUGAUUCAAGACGGAUUUUAUAACUUCAAUAUUUAGAGAGUGAUUUGAGUGAGCUGUAUUUGCUACUUUUUAGCUUAUAACUAAUACAACUUUCAAAUCUUGGGAAGACAACUUCUGCAUUUAGAGACUGCCCAAGAGCAAGGAGCAUUUGAGAAAUUGAUGGGAUUGCCUACAUAGGUACAACUCUCCUUUAAUCUUUGUGUUACAGCUUGUCUAAUGACUAAUUCGAAAUCCAAGUUACCGUGGUUUGAACAAAUUCGAUGGAGUAGUGUUUUUAUUUUUACCUUCGUAUAUAUGGAAAUGAAAGAAUAAACAACUCUUUGAAGACAACUUCUUUCCGACAAAGGUGUUCAAUUACCAUUUCCGUUCAUUGCUUAAUUUGUUAGACUAUGCUUCGUCCCUAAAAUUCGUCAUCUGAAGUAAUCUCAAGUUUUCAACAUCAUGUUUUGAGCCCCAGAGAUAAGGUUAAGCUCUAUGGAACUACUAUAUUUACAGCGAUCUCGAUCUGAUAUGCUAAGGGUGCGUUUGUUGCGCCGGACUGUCUCGGAUUGGACUAGCUGCCGGGACUAAGCUGGACUGGCUUAGACUGGACUAAGCUGGACUAACUUAGUGAAGCGUUUGGUGUAAUGUCGGACUAAGAAGCAGGAUAAGAAAAACAGUACUGUUCACCAGAUUUGUGUUUGCUUAGACUAGGAUUACAAAUUUUUGCCAUUGUGUAAUAGAGUAAUGCUACAAAUCUCAUGAUAUGGGUUAAUUGGAGCAUAUUUUUGCCAUGUAUAUUAUGAAUCUUAAAAAAAAAUUGACAAUUGUUUUGUUUCUAUUACCUGCUAAUAGAAUUGGGUUUAAUUUGCAAAUGUAGCUUGGUUUAAACUCUAUCACCCAACAGAAGAAAAAUAAUAGUGCCCAAUACAUGCAACUUCAACAAAUACAAGUACAUAAGAAGAUCUCCAUAAUUUAGAAAAUCCUAGUUAACAUUAGCCAAAAUAGAUCUCCAUAAUUUACAAAAUGGCUAGUUAACAUAAGCCAAAAUACUAGUGCAAAGCUAAGUUAUAAGCCAUAACAUAAGAUUGUAUGAUUAAUAAAAUACAUCCAUGUUAACAUUAAUAAAAUACAUCCAUGUUAACAUUAGCCAAAAUCCUCAUCCGCUUGCGUUGUCGCUUAAAAGCCUUUGGACGAACACUUUCUUGAGUUCCGGUUUGAUUGCCCUGAACACUCCCACAUUUUUUGGUUUAUCCAAAAUAAGAGACAAUGCAUCAAUUUGAUCCAUAGGAGAGAGACCCAUUGCUUCAAGUUCAUUAGCUAUGUCAGUAUGAUCUGCAGUACCUUGAACUAAAGCUUCAGUUACCAUUUGCAUCCUCUUCCCACUUUCAACAUAAAAAUCUUUCAGUCCACUGAUAAUUGCCUCGGUUCCAUCACUUGAACUUCCCACAGCUCUUUUCCUCUUUCUUUGGCUAUUUUCAGAUGGGGUGCUUUGUUGGCUUUUGUUGGUUCAUUGAAGAAACAAAAUUUUCACCUCCAAUAUCACUUUCACCAACAUGAUCAUAACUUUGUUCCUCCACCAUUUGAGCAGGGGUUUCGGCUACAUUACCCGUAGCCCGAUCUUUUCCAAAUAUAUAUGCAAAUCUAUCAAACAGUGGAAAAGGUUUGCUUCUCCAUCCAUCGGCUUCUUUAUUUCUCUAAGAUUAUAUCAACAUAGCAAAACUAAAAUUUAGCAUGCGUAACAAAUAUAGCAGCAAUAAUAUAACUAAUGUAUAAAUAAAAUAGGAUAUGAACCUGCACAUAAGUUUGCCAUGAGUCAUCACUGUCAACUUCAACGCACUUUUUGACAUCAUUCCAUGCAAAUCCACUUGUGUUUAUCAUGUCAACGACCAUACUAUAUGUUUUUUUUUCCAUUUCUUCAACUUGGACUCAAUAUGUAGAUUUGCCUUUAUAUUUGAAUGAGGACAUAAAACAUUGACAGCUUUUGCUAUUUCAACCAAAGUACCUUGUUUGAAAGCACCGGUGUCACACCGUUGCUUCCGAGCAACAAAAUCCUCAAGAACUCCUAGUAAUACUUCUUCCUCAAAUGCUUCCCAUUUACGCCUUCUUCCUUUUGGCUCUUGAGUAGCAUUCAAAAUAUUUUCGUUAUCCAUACCUAAACAAAAAAUAUUUUAAUGAAGGAAAAUACCAUACAAAUAAUCAAUCUGCAUAAUAUCCAAUCAACUUACAUAAUAUCCAAUCAACUUGCAUAAUAUCCAAUUAAUUUGCAUACCAUCCAAUCAUUGUGCUAAUAUCUAACAAAUGCAUGAUAAAAAGGAAUACUAAAAUAAAAUGUUAUCAUUAACACAUAUAGCUAGUUCGGUUGCUGGUUCCUAAUUGCUCUCCACUCGUUAUACAUUUCCUGAGCCAUAUCAUUCCUCUUUGCAGUCCACUGGUCAGAUGUUUGAACACUACCAACAUAUUCACCUUCUUCUGUAUUUUGUCCAUCUUCUAUUAUUGGCAAAUUCUCCAUUGGAUCUACAGACAUCUCUUGCCUAAUAAGAUUGUGUAGUAGGCAACAAGCGGUAAUUAUUCGACCUUGUGUCCUUAUCGGAUAGAAAGAUGGACUCCUUAGUAUCGACCACCUUCCUUUUAGCAAGCCAAAACAGCGUUCAAUUACAUUCCUUGCCUUAGAAUGAUUCAUGUUAAAAUAUUCUUCCUUAUUAGAAGGUGUUCGUCCCUCCCAUUCAGAUAAAUGAUAAGGUAUUCCUCUAUAGGGUGCAAGGAAUCCUUCACCAUUUGUAUAACCACCAUCUACAAGGUAAUAAUAACCUAAUGAAAAAAAAAACAGACCUUAUUAGUGUUUUGUAGUUGACAAACAGAACUAGACCUAACUUACAAAGUUGAGACUAAGUAAUAGUCUUACCCGCUGGUACCUUAAAACCAUUAGGCAUAGUAAUUGCAUCAUGUAGCACUCUAGAGUCUGAUGCGGAACCCUCCCACCCCAGAAACACAUAUAUGAACUGCAUAUCUCCUGAACACACACCUAACACAUUAGUUGCGACUCGACCCUUUCUUGUUCGGUAUCUUGGUUUGUCAAUUUCAGGUACAUGCACAUCAAUGUGUGUUCCAUCCAAUGCUCCCAAACAAUUCUUAAAAAAAAAAAAAAAAAAAAAAAGUUUUUGUUAAUUUAUACAAAGGGAAUGAAGAGUUAAAGCUUAGGGAAAAUGAAAAAAAAUUCUCAUCAUACCUUAAAACAUCGCCACCUAGGAUCUGUAGAAUCAAUAGGCACAGGCUGUGGGACUUUCAGUAGGAUACCUUGUAAUCGCAAAAUUCCUUGCAAUACGCUAUUAAAAUACCUACUUAUAGUCUCUCCCGACCUAUAAAAUCUACCGCCAACACUACGAUUCUUAGUAUGAUGUGCUAAUAUUUGUAAAGUCAUACACACCUGCUCCUCUACAGACACCAAACCAUCAGUUUUUACCCUCACAUCUUGACGAAGUAAGUCACAUAAUAUGUCAAAAGUCCUUCUAUCCAUUCUCAAUUCGUUGACACAUUCAGUAUCAGUAUUCCCUAUUAUACCAUUCAGAUAACACAAACUAAUCUCUCGUCUAAUAAGUGAACGGUUAGUCAAUGUGGGUCGUUCAACAUGUCUCUGUUUGCCACGUAGCAUCAUCAACACAAGAAUCGUACAAAUGCAAAUUGUCUCCAAAUAAGACAUCUCUAACAAUAAGAUCAAUAAAAGCUUCCUUCGAUCCAUAUCUAUCCAAACAAAAAAAAAAACAAAAAACAAAUUAAGGACAUUAUAUAUGUAAUAUUUACUGUUAUUAAGGGUGAUGGAAAUGAAGUGAUUAUGAUACGAAAUGAACUAGAUCAAAGUAACUAGCGAAGUCACAAUCCGAGGCAUCAAAUAUACGGGUGGUGUUGGAAAAAAAAAGCUAUCAUUAACCCGAGGCAACAAAUAUACAGGUGGCGUUGAAAAAAAAAAUUAUCAUUAACCCGAGGCAACAAAUAUACAGGUGGCGUUGAAAAAAAAAAAGUUAUCAUUAACCCGAAGCAUCAUAUUCAAAAUGUUCUACUCUUAUACAUCUAUAAACAUGUGUCUAAGAACACUAGUAUGAGGAUUGCUAUCAUUGCUAGGCAUUGCAUAUGAAGAGGGAAAUUAAAGGACACCUGUAAUGCAGUAGCCUUAGCCUUAGCCUUCUGUUUAUGCUCCUCUUCUCUGCAACCAACAACCACAAAAAAUUGCAAUUCAGCAUCAACCCCACACAAUACAAAACAUUCACAUUGUAAUAUCAUGGUUAUAAACCAAGUACACACACACACACUCAUGGACAAAUGUGCAAAAUACACAUACAUACUCACACUCACACUCACACUAACACACACACACGAACAUACACACUCUCACACACGGACAUACACUCACACACACUCAUGGACAAAUGUGCAAAAUACACAUACAUACUCACACUCACACUCACACUAACACACACACAUGGACAUACACACUCUCACACACGGACAUACACUCACACACACCCUGCAUACAUACAUACACACACACACACACACACUGCAUACAUACAUACACACACACACACACACUGCAUAUAUACAUACACACACACACACAUACUCACACUGCAUACACACACACACACACACUGCAUACAUAGACACACACACACACUGCAUACAUACACACACACACACACACACACACACACACACACUGCAUACAUACACACACACACACACGGCAUACAUACACACACACACACACACACUGCAUACAUACACACACACACACACACUGCAUACAUACACACACACACACACUGCAUACACACACACACUGCAUACACACACACAAACAUACUCACACGGACAUACACACUCUUACACACGGACAUACACUCACACACACCCUGCAUACAUACAUACAUACACACACACACACACUGCAUACAUACAUACACACACACACACUGCAUACAUAGACACACACACACACACUGCAUACAUAGACACACACACACACUGUAUACACACACACACACACACUGCAUACAUACACACACACACACACACACUGCAUACAUACACACACACACACACACGGCAUACAUACACACACACACACACACACUGCAUACAUACACACACACACACACACGGCAUACAUACACACACACACACACACACACACUGCAUACAUACACACACACACACACUGCAUACAUACACACACACACACACACUGCAUACAUACACACACACACACUGCAUACAUACACACACACACACACACUGCAUACAUACACACACACACACACACUGCAUACAUACAUACACACACACACACACACACGGCAUACAUACACACACACACACACUGGUCAGCUGCACACACUGCACUCACACAGACAUACACACUCUCACACACGGACAUACACUCACACACACACUGCAUACAUACACACACACACACACACUGCAUACAUACACACACACACACACACUGCAUACAUACACACACACACACACACUGCAUACACACACACACACACACACACACACUGCAUACAUAGACACACACACACACUGCAUACAUACACACACACACACAUUGCAUACAUACAUACACACACACGGCAUACAUACACACACACACACUGCAUACACACACACACACAUACACUGCAUACAUAGACACACACAUACACUGCAUACAUACACACACACACACACUGCAUACAUACACACACACACACACACACUGCAUACAUUCACACACACACACACACACGGCAUACAUACACACACACACACACUGCAUACAUACACACACACACACACACUGCAUACAUACACACACACACACACACACACACACACACACACACACACACACACACUGCAUACAUACACACACACACAUUGCAUACAUACACACACACACACACUGCAUACAUACACACACACACACACUGCAUACACACACACACUGCAUACACACUCACACACAUACACACUCUCACACACGGACAUACACUCUCACACACUGACAUACACUCACACCCUGCAUACAUACACACACACACUGCAUACACACACACACACUGCAUACACACACACACACACACUGCAUACACACUCACACACAUACUCACACGGACAUACACACUCUCACACACGGACAUACACUCACACACACCCUGCAUACAUACAUACAUACACACACACACACACUGCAUACAUACAUACAUACACACACACACACUGCAUACAUACACACACACACACACACACAGAUUACACACACACACACAGAGUAUACACAAACAGAGAUUACACGCACACAUAGAGUAUACACACACACACAGACAAACCAGAGUACACACACACAUAGUAUACACACACAUGCACACACACACAGACACACACAGAGAUUACACACACAGAUUCUAAUCUCAAUUUGACCUAAAAAUUGAUUUUGAAGUUUACCAGAAAAGUUGAAAUACGAAAACCCCAAAUUCUAAUCUGAAUUUGAACUAAAAAUAUGAAAACCCCAAAUUCUAAUCUCAAUUCGACGAAAUCAAUCGAAGAUUUGAAGCUUACCAGACUGUCUCCGACCAGAUGAGGGCGAGAAUACGCAGAGAUGAGGGUGAGGAUGACGACGACGAGGAAGCAGGGCAAGGUCGACGACGAGCGACGAGCAGGACGAAGGACGUUGGGGAUCCUCGCAGAGAUGAGGACGAGCAGGACGUUGGGGAUCCUCGCGGUUUUCUCUCCGAGCUUACGAGUCCGCCCAAAAUUGGGGUUCUUCGUUAAGAACUCGUAAUGAGGCGUGUAAUCCGAGCGAGUCCCACCUAAGCCCAUUAAAGCUAAUCCGGUUGCACACCAAACACAGGACUAUAGUCUAGUCCAGUCCAAGCCUUGCUAAUCCUGUCAAACAAACGUGCCCUAAUAGUAUUAGCACCCAAGUUUUUGGUACAACAGUUGCAUUUUUGCAGAUCGAAAAUAUGACUAGCGUAUUUAUAUUUUUUAUCUUUUUUGUAGGGUGGUGGUUUUGGCACCCAACAAAUUGUGAUCGAAUGCCCCUUAUGCGAGGAUUAUUACAAGAUUCGGGAGCAUCUCCACUCACAAUUUUAUUUGCUUUAAGUAGAGAUACAUAAUAUCAAACGCCUUCGGAUGAACUGUCAUUUAGUCGCGAUGUUAAUUUAUAGUGAUUUCACAACACUAAAAGGUACCUCCUCGAUCACAAUAUACUCAACAAUACCUUCCACACUUUCUUCUAGGCUCCACCCUUUAGCAACAAGCUUGUUUUUGACAUCCUCAAAAGGUCCAGAACUGCCUAGAACCUUUGGCAACUCAUCAGUUGGUUUAUAUGACUUGCAAUGUUUAUUGAUAUGUUUAAUGUAAGCACUAGUUCCACCCCCCACUAGUAACACAUGAAAAAAGGGCAUUACAAUGGUUACACUUAGCCUUCCAUACUUGUACCUCCACCAUCUCUUUCUUUCCAUCUUUUUCUACUUCAUGUAUUUUCGAGACGGUACACUUAGUGACAUGAUCCCAAACCCAAGAUCUCUCAGAAGAAGAUCUCUCUAGUGAAGCUAUUAUAGUUUGUUGUCUUGUCUUUGGAAUAAGUGGUGCUUUUCUUUUUUUUUGGAGGAUGAGGGGUUUUGGGGAGGUAUUGAUGAUUUUGCCUGUGUGGGUUGUGCUUGUGUUGGUUGUGGAGGACAUGGUGAUGUAGCCAUAGAUGAUGCUACAUUAGUACUAGGGGUACUUUAACUUUGAGAUCGAGACAAUAUGUAAAAAUUUGUAAAAAUUAAAUAAUGGAAGUAUAUUCAUUAAUCAAAUAAAGAUAUUUUGAAAUAUGCACACCAAUUUCAUGAAAUUACCACAAAAUACUAAUCAUCUUAAGAAACCAUUAAAACUUUAGAGUUCAGAUCACGAAUAAAACCAACUACUAAAUCCAUCCCCAUUAAGAGAAAGAAACUAAAUAAAACCAAAUGAAAACAAGAGAAAGACGUGCUAAAUGAAAACAAAGAGAAACCAAAUGUAAGACGUGCUAAAUAAAUCCAUCCCCAUUAAUACUCGAUAUGAAACCAAAUGAAAAUAGGAGAAAGAAACUAUAUGCUAAAAAGAGGGAUAGAGCAAUUUUGAAUCAUGCUAAAUUUGACUUACAUUAGCAAUAUUCAAAGAAAAACUAGUUAAAAGAAAAACGUGCGGAUCUAUUAACUAUUAAGUACUUACAUUUAUUGGGUUCCAAAGAAGAAGACUAGUACUUUCUUCCAAUCAACAGAGUAGCCCCACUUCUCUGGUACACUUACCUGCAGAAUGAUUAGGAAUAAUUAGGAAUAAAGAGAUAAUCAAACUAUAAGUUUACACACAUUCUUGUAUACUACAGAAACCAAAACCAUGCUAAAUUUGUCUGAGAAGACAAAAACCAAAUCAGAGGCUGUUAUGCUUCUAAAAGAACAUAUGAGCAGUCACCUUAUGCAAAACAACAUCAAAGGGUCCUUGAUCUGAAAGUGGCUUGUUUACAUCAAUUGCAAUGAAGAAGAUCCCCUUAUUCCUGCAAUGAAGAAGAUCCCCUUACAACAAUCUGCAUUAACAAACCGGUUUAAUGUGCUAAACCUAAGGACAACAAGAGUAGAGCCCCAAAUUACUGAGAAAUUGCAAGGAAACAAGGUCGACAACAGAGGCAACAAAGCAGUAAACCUACAAGACUAAAAGGAAACAAACAGCCUAGCCUGCAAAGAUUCAGAGAAGUCUGGGCGCAGAGCCAGGAAUAAUUAGCACUUUAACCCUGCAAAUUAUGAUUGACGAGUGACAACCCAUCUUUGUUUACUUUUACUUUUGUUUGUUGGAGUAGCUAGCACUUUAACAUUCAACAGAAACUAGUAUGUAAAACUUUAAUGUGCUGUUCGUCUGCUACACAUUAAGUUAAUUUAUCUAUGCGUGGGUGUGUGAGUGUCACCCUUCAAAUUCAUGCAGUAUGAGGGGGAAUUCCCAUGGCCCUAGUGCCACUGCGGCUAGGCCUUGUCCUCCACCUCCAAUAUAUAUUGAAUUAAUUGCACUUUCAUCCUAGUACCCAUACACCACUCCAUACAAAAUAAAAAUAAAGACUUGUCACAAUAUCACUAAUGCCGGCUUGGUUCUUAACGUUAUGUUGUAUUUUUAAAUCCAUUUGUAAUUAUAUCGGUCCGUGAAACAAUAAUAUAAAUUGAUCAAAUUAAAAUACAAACCAUUGCCAAUAUAUUAUGAAUUAAUUGCGCUUUCAUCAUCCAACAACUCAUACAUUAUUCCAUGAAUAAAAUAAAUAUAUUAAUAAAGAGGAGAAGAUGGAAUAAUAAUAAACAACACAACGAACACGUAUGAUUAAAAGUUGUACUUUUUAAACACAUUUGUAAUUUCAUCGGUAGUAUAUAGAAAGAGGGGAAACUUAGUGAACUUAAAACAGGUUUGAAUACUAAGUGAACUAAAGCAGAACAAAUCCCUAAAAAUUGCUUAAGUUCAAAUGAGUUUUCUAUCCGAAAAUAAAAUCUAAUUUCCAAAACAUAUCAAUAUAAGAACAUCUAAAAUUGAAUUGUAUCAUCUUCAACCAAAUCUACAUCGGCCGUUUGUGAAACCAAAUGCAUACAAUCACCGAAUUACGAACUUUUUGAGAUGCAAUCGAAACACAAAUUGACAACUGUGAAUGAUAAGAACUAAGAAGAACUAGACUACAUUGAAUCAAAGACGACAACUGAGAGUGGAAACGUUUCGCUCAGACUUAGAUCUGAAAUAUGCAAAGCAAAGAAAAACCCAAACCUUGUUAUUAGUGAUUCAAUAUUAGAGUGGAAAAAAAUUGGUAGAUGCGAAGGGAAGAACCCUAAAUGGUGGCAAUAGAUCAAUCAUCAAUCUACAAAUGCAAUUCAAAUAAAAAUGACACUGAAUUACAUGGAUUAAACAAGAAUUACAAUCUUAUAAAUAUAAAUGACAAUGAAUGUGCCAUGAAAAGUGAAGCUCCACAACUGGUAAUAACGCAUGGAAAAUCAAAAUAAGCAUGUUCGACAUAGAUGCAACUGAAAAUCUAAAACCUGAAUCACUUCCAUAGAACCUAAGACCAUGCUUGCAUGCAUCAAUCAAAUCCAAAUGACACGUGGGAAGAUAGUCGACAUUGCCUCGCAUCUACUAGAACCAAAACACAACUUCCCUUCUCCCCUUUGUUCACGAGUGCUCAUACGGUUUCUAUUCUAUUUUGCACAGGUAAUAACCCAAAAUUUGUUAUCAAUGGUUCAAUAUUACAGUGGAAAAAAAUUGGUUGAUGCAAAGAGAAGAACCUUAAAUUGUGGCAACAGAUCAAUCAUCAAUCUACAAAUGCAAUUCAAAUUUUAAGAAAACCCUAAAUGGUGGCAAUAUGAUUCAAUCAUCAAUCUACAAAUUCUAACUUAAAAAGGUCGUACCCAGUGCACAAGGCUCCCGCUUUACGCAGGGUCUGGGAGAGGUGAAUGUCGGCUAGCCUUACCCCCAUUUUAUGGAGAGGCUGCUCCCAAGUCUCGAACCCGAGACCUACCGCUCAUGGGCGAAGGCACUUGCCAUCGCACCAAGUGCGACCUCUUCUACAAAUUCUAACUUAAAACCCCUAAAAUCCCUACACCAGAUAUUCACAAUUUCGCAUUAAUAAUAAAUCCUAAUUCAAAAUUACCUACAUUUUAGAGGGAUGAUGGUUGGUAGUGGUAUUGGACCACUGGUGGUAGCGGUAUUGAACCACUGGUGGUAGCAGUGUUCCUCGACGGUGGUGAUGGGAUGAUGAUGGUCGCGAUGGCGGAGGUGGUGCCGUUGUGUUGGUAGCGACGAAGCUGUGAAAGUCUGAAAGUUGGAGCUCAAUGGUGGUGAUGGGGUGAUGGUGGUCGCGACGGUGGAGGUGGUGCUGUUGUGUUAGUCCCAACGUCGUUAAGCACUGUGAGUUAGAGUCUGAGAGUUGGAGUUAAGGGAAAGGACAAGGAGGGAGUCGAGUCGAGGGAGGGAGAGAUUCUGAAAGACUGAGGGUUGUUUUGGAACUCGGGAGGUGGAAUUGGCUAGAGUAGCCCCACUUCUCUGGUUCAUUUACCUACAGAAUGAUUAGGAAUAAUUAGGAACAAUGAGAGAAACAAACUAUAAGUUUACACACAUUCCCGUAUACUACAAAAACCAAAACCAUGCUAAAUUUGUCUUAGAAGACAAAAACCAAAUCAAAGGCUUUUAUGCUUCUAAAAGAACAUAUGAGCACCCACCUUAUGCAAAACAACAUCAAAGGGUCCUUGACCUAAAAGUGGCUUGUCUACAUCAAUUGCAAUGAAAAAGAUCCCCUUAUUCCUGCAAUGAAGAAGAUCCCCUUACAACAAUCUGUAUUAGCAAACCUGUUUAAUGUGCUAAACCUAAAGACAACAAGAGCAGAGCCCCCAAUUACUGAGAAAUUGCAAGGAAACAAGGUCGACAGUAGAGGCAACAAAGCAGUAAGCCUACAAGACUAAAAGGAAACAAAUAGCCUAGCCUGCAAAGAUUUAAAGAAGUCUGGGCGCAGAGUUAGGAAUAAUUAGCACUUUAACCCUACGGAUUAUGAUUGACAAGUGACGACCCAUCUUUGUUUACUUUUACUUUUUUUUGUUGGAUUAGCUAGCACUUUAACAUUCAACAGAAACUAGUAUGUAAAAUUUUAAUGUGCUGCUUAUCUGCUACACAUUAAGUUAAUUAAUCUAUGCGUGGGUGUGUGAGUGUCACCCUUCAAAUUCAUGCAGUAUAAGGGGGGAAUUCCCAUGGCACUAGUGCCACCGUAGCUAGGCCUUGUCCUCCCCCUCCAAUAUAUAUUGAAUUAAUUGCACCUUCAUCCAAGUACCCAUACACCACUCCAUACAAAAUAAAAACAAAGACUUGUCACAAAUAUCACCAAUGCCGGCUUGGUUCUUAACGUUAUGUUGUAUUUUUAAAUCCAAUUGUAAUUAUAUCGGUCCGUGAAACAAUAAUAUAAAUUGAUCAAAUUAAAAUACAGACCAUUGUCAAUGUAUUAUGAAUUAAUUGCGCUUUCAUCAUCCAACAACUCAUACAUUAUUCAAUGAAUAAAAUAAAUAUAUUAAUAAAGAGGAGAAUAUGGAAUAAUAAUAAACAACACAACGAACACGUAUGAUUGAAGGUUGUACUUUUUAAACAUAUUUGCAAUUUCAUCGAUAGUAUAUAGAAAGAGGGGAAACUUAGUGAACUUAAUUUUGGGCCGUCAAAUCUGUUUUUACUAAUAUAUUUGAUCUCAUUUGAUCGUAGCCGUUAGAUUAUAAGUAAAAAAACAAAAAAAAAGUUUGAAAUAUGAUAAUUUAGUGGGUUCAGAAUAAUUUAAGCCAAGCUUAAAUCCUGGGAGGAAUCUAGCUGAGAAAUAUAUUUUCUCUCCCAGGCUUAUUUUAGCCCAUGAUUGGAGAUGGUUUGGGAGUGUUUUAAAACAUAUAUUUUAAGUUUUAUUUCAUGAGUUGGUGAUGGUCUAAGGGGAGAGACAUAAUAUCUAGGAUUUGGAUUCUCUCAUGAGCUAAUGGAGAGGAUCCUCCUGACCAACAUAUGUGGACCGUUGGAUGAAAAUUCAACGGCUACAAACAGAAUGUUCUUUUAAAGUUAUAAUAAUUAUAGCCGUUGAAUUUUCAUCUAACGGUCCAUAUACGUUGCUUAGGAGGAUCCUCUCCUUAAGCUCAGGAGAGGAUCCAAAUCCUAAUAUCUAACGCUUUCGGAUAAACCGACAUUUAAUCACGAUAUUAACUUCUAGUGAUUCGAGGAAACAUACUAAAGCUUAAUUUCAGUGCCGGCCUUAUUUUUGGACCCAGCUUCUCUGCCCUUCCAGUUCUCAUACACUCCCAUCCCCUCCUAUUUUGUUUCGUGCGGUCACGAUUAAUCCACGUCAAUAUUUUAUAUUGAUCUUUUUAUAGAGAUAAUAAGACAAAAAGUAAUAGUGAUAUAAAAUGUUAACAUAGUUUAACUGUUAUCGCAAAAAUAAGAGGAGAUAAGAGUGUAUGAAAACUAGGAAUGCAGAGAAGCCAGGUCCCUUAUAUUUUGUCGAACUUGUCAUGGUCAGACAUUUUAAGUGAAAGUGACAAUAUGUGCAGCUGAGUCAAUGCGGUCGAAACCUGGUUCCUUAUCAAUCUCCUUACAAAGUAUCGAAACUAAUAAUUAUUGAGCAAACGCAAUUGCCCUUUUGUCUGAUUGCCGACGGUUGACCAUGGAAACCUGGUUCCUGAUCCUCAUCGCCUUCUGCGUCUCCUUCCUCCUCAAACCCCUUCUUUCCCUAUUCCUACCCACUUCCAUCUCCAAACCCAAGCUCCCUCCUGGGCCCCGCGUCUUCCCCGUCAUCGGCGGCUUCUUAUUCCUCCUCAAAUCCUUCUCGGAGCUCGAGCCUAUCAUCCGCAAACUCAAGGCCAAACACGGGCCCAUUAUCUCCCUCCGCAUCGGCUCCCGCCCGGCCGUCUUCAUCGCCGACCGCUCCCUCGCCCACCAGGCCUUAAUCCAGAACGGCGCCGUGUUCGCCGACCGCCCCCGGGCCUCGGCCACCAACAAGUACUCCAGCAGCAACCAGCACAACAUCAGCUCCGCCAUCUACGGCCCCACUUGGCGCCUCCUCCGCCGCAACCUCACCUCCGAAAUCCUUCACCCUUCCCGGGUCAAAUCCUACGGCAACGCCCGCAAAUGGGUUCUCGACAUCCUCGUCAACCGCCUCAAAACCAAGUCUCAAUCCCACUCCGAAGGCGCCAGCGCCGGCGUCAGGGUGGUCGACCACUUCCAAUACGCCAUGUUCUGCCUCCUGGUUCUGAUGUGCUUCGGUGACAAAUUGAACGAAGAGCAAAUCAAAGAAAUCGAGCGGGUGCAGCGCCAAUUUCUUUUGAGUUCCGGGCGGUUCAAUAUCCUCAAUUUCACCCCUAAAUUGACGAAGAUUAUCUUCAAAAAUCGGUGGCGGCAAUUCUUCAAAAUCCUCGAGGAACGACGAGAAGUGCUCGUCCCUCUGAUUCGAGCAAGACAAAACAAGGCAAAGCAGGGCAGCAAAAACGACGACAAUGACGAUGAAUUUGUGUUGUCGUAUACUGAUACGCUGCUGGACCUCGAGCUUCCCGACGGAAACAAAAAGCGGAAGCUUUCGGAGGGAGAAAUGGUCAGCCUCUGCUCAGAGUUUCUGAACGGCGGCACCGACACGACUUCCACCGCGCUGCAGUGGAUCAUGGCCAACGUAGUGAAGUACCCGCAAGUUCAGGAGAAGCUGUUUGCGGAGAUUAAAGGGGUUAUGGGAGAAACGGAGGACGAGCUGCGGGAGGAGGUCCUGCACAAGCUGCCGUAUCUGAAAGCCGUGAUCUUGGAGGGGCUGAGGCGCCACCCGCCGGGCCACUUUGUGCUGCCGCACGCGGUGACGCAUGACGUGGUUUUGGGCGGACACGUGGUGCCCAAGAACGGGAGUGUUAAUUUCAUGGUGGCGGAUAUAGGCUGGGACCCUCAAGUGUGGGAAGAUCCCAUGGCGUUCAAGCCGGAGAGGUUCUUGAGCAGCGGCGGAGGAGAAGAAGGGUUCGAUUUGACGGGGAGCAGGGAGAUUAAGAUGAUGCCGUUUGGGGCAGGGAGGAGAAUCUGUCCUGCGUCGGGAUUGGCGGUGCUUCACCUGGAGUACUUUGUGGCGAAUUUGGUGUGGAAAUUUGAGUGGAGAGCUGUGGAGGGAGAUGACGUGGACCUGUCGGAGAAGCAGGAGUCUACUGUGGUGAUGAAGAAUCCAUUGCAAGCCCACGUAAUCCCUAGAAUUUAAUGCGUGGGAGAAUUCUGUAAUAAUUUUUCGAUAUACUUUGAACUGUCAAAUCCAUCAAUGUAUGCUCUUCAUUGAUUAUGCAAUUUCGAAAAUUUGGAAUUUUAGUUUACUAGUGUGAUACAAGACAGAUUUUAUAACUUCAAUAUUUAGUGAGUGAUUUGAGUGAGCUGUACUUGCUACUUUUUAGCUUAUAACUAAUACAACUUUCCAAUCUUGGAAGACAUCUUCUGUAUUUAGAGAUUGCCCAAUAGCAAGGAGCAUUUGAGAAUUUGAUGGGAAUGCCUACAUAGUUACAACUCUCCUUUAAUCUUGGUGUUACAACUUGUUUGAUGACUAAUUCGAUAUCCCAGUUAUUGUGGUCUGAACAAACUCGGUGGAGUAGUGUUUUUGUUUUUACCUUCGUAUAUAUAGAAAUGGAAGAAUAAACAACUUUUUGAAGACAACUUCUUUCCGACAAAGGUGUUAUGGUACCAUUUCUGUUCAUUGCUUAAUUUGUUAGACUAUGCUUCGUCCUAAAAAUUCGUCAACUGAAGUAAUCUGAAGUUUUCAACUUCAUGUUUUGAGCCUCGGAGAUAAGGUUAAGCUCUAUGGAACUACUAUAUUUACAACAAUCUCGAUCUGAUUUCUUUGACAUGUUGAAUUUGUUGGUGGGACGCUGAGAUGCAAUGAAUAUGUGACAUUACGCAAAGUUGGAGAUGCAAGCCAUAAGGUUGGUCAUAUACAAUAUGCUAAUAGUAUUUGCACCCACAUUUUUAGCACAACAGUUCCAUAGCUAGAGUUCUAGUUUGCGGACGGAAAGUCUGACUAGCGUAUAUAUAAUUUGAUCUUUUGUAGGGUGGUGGUUCUGGCACCCAACAAAUUGUGAUUGAAGGCCCCUUAUGUGAGAAUUAUUACAAGAUUCGGGAGUAUCUCUAGUCACAAUUUUAUGUCCUUUAAGACCAUCUCCAACCUUUGGGGACAAAGCUUAAAAAUUUAAGCCAGAAAAUUUUAAGUCAUAAGCGAGAAACUGUUUUUCUCUUCUAACCCUUAUGGCUUAAAAUUUUAGCCUGUGAUGAUCAAAUAAUGAUUUUAGCCUAACUUUUUGUUUUCGGUAACUUUUUUUGAAAAUAAAAUUUACGUAGAUUAUCUUAAUCUAUUUUUAUAAAUAUUUUAGUCUAAAAAUAUUUAAAUUCCGAUAAGUAAUUAAAAAUCAUACAAAUACAUAGGUAUUUAUAAAGUUUUAAGUUAAAUUUGAUUUAAAUAAUUUUCUUAAAUUAUUUUAGAUGUUGAUUUAAUCUUGGACGGUCAAAUCUUUUUUUUACUUUUAGAUUUGAUCUCAUUUGAUCAUAACCGUUAAAUUAUAAGUAAAAAGCAAAAGAAAAAUUGAAAUAUAACAGUUUGGUGGAUUCAAAAUAAUUUAAGCCAACUUUAAAUCUUGGAGGAAUCUAGUUUAGAGAUAUAUUUUAUUUUAGCUUAUGGUUGGAGAUAGUUUGGAGGUUUUAAAAUUUAUAUUUUAAGCUUUAUUUUAUAAAUUAGAGAUCAUCUAAAUGGAUAGACAUAAUAUCUAAUGCCUUCAUAUGAACUUGAAUCACAAUGUUAACUUCCAGUGAUUCAGGAAACACACUAAAGUUUAAUUUCAACGUAGGACUUAUUUUUCGUCGAAGUUGUCAUGGACUCAUGGUCAGACAUUUUAAGUGAAAGUGACAAUAUGUGCAGCUGAGUUAAUGCCGUGGAAACUUGGUUCCUUAUAAUGUAUGGAAACUAACAAUUAAUGAGCAGACGCAGUUGCCCUUUUGUCUGAUUGCUUACGAUUCACCAUGGAAACCUGGUUCCUUGUCCUCAUCGCCCUCUGCGUCUCCUUCCUCCUCAAACCCCUUCUCUCUCUAUUCCUACCCACUUCCAUCUCCAGACCCAAUCUCCCUCUCGGGCCUCGCUUCUUCCCCAUCAUCGAGGGCUUCUUAUUCCUCCUCAAAUCUGCCUCGGAGCUCGAGCCUAUUAUCCGCAAACUCCAGGCCGAAUACGGGCCCAUCAUCUCCCUCCGCAUCGGCUCCCGCUCUACCGUCUUCGUCGCCGACCGCUCCCUCGCCCACCAGGCCUUAAUCCAGAACGGAGCCGUGUUCGCCGACCGCCCCCGGGCCUUGGCCACCAACAAGUGUCUCAACAGCAACCAGCACACCAUCGGCUCCGCCGGCUACGGUCCCUCGUGGCGUCUCCUCCGCCGCAAUAUCACCUCCGAAAUCCUCCACCCUUCCCGCGUUAAAUCCUACGGCAACGCCCGCAAAUGGGUUCUCGACAUCCUUGUCAACCGCCUCAAAACCGAGUCUCAAUCCCACUCAGAAGACGUCGCCAGCGGCGUCAGGGUGGUCGACCAUUUCCGAUACGCCAUGUUCUGCCUCCUGGUUCUGAUGUGCUUCGGCGACAAAAUGAACGAAGAGCAAAUCAAAGAAAUCGAGCGUGUGAACCGCCAACUACUUUUGAGUUUCGGGCGGUUCAAUAUCCUCAAUUUCAAUCCAAAAUUGACGAAGAUUAUCUUCAAAAAUCGGUAGCGGCAAUUCUUCAAAAUCCUCGAGGAACGACGAGAAGUGCUCGUCCGUCUGAUUCGAGCACGACAAACCAGGGCGAAGCAGGGCAGCAAAACCGACGACAAAGACGAUGAAUUUGUGUUGUCGUAUACUGAUACGCUGCUGGACCUCGAACUUCCCGACGGCAACGAAAAGCGGAAGCUUUCGGAGGGAGAAAUGGUCAGCCUCUGCUCAGAGUUUCUGAACGCCGGCACCGACACGACUUCCACCGCGCUGCAGUGGAUCAUGGCCAACGUAGUGAAGUACCCGCAAGUUCAGGAGAAGCUGUUUGCUGAGAUUAAAGGGGUGAUGGGAGAAACGGAGGAGGAGGUGCGGGAGGAGGUCCUACACAAGCUGCCGUAUCUGAAAGCCGUGAUCUUGGAGGGGCUGAGGCGCCACCCGCCGGCGCACUUUGUGCUGCCGCACGCGGUGACGCAAGACGUGGUUUUGGGCGGACACGUGGUGCCCAAGAACGGGAGUGUUAAUUUCAUGGUGGCGGAUAUAGGCUGGGACCCGCAAGUGUGGGAGGAUCCCAUGGCGUUCAAGCCCGAGAGGUUCUUGGGCAGCGGCGGAGAAGAAGGGUUCGAUUUGACGGGGAGCAGGGAGAUUAAGAUGAUGCCGUUUGGGGCAGGGAGGAGGAUCUGUCCUGCGUCGGGAUUGGCGGUGCUUCACCUGGAGUACUUUGUGGCGAAUUUGGUUUGGAAGUUUCAGUGGAGGGCUGUGGAGGGAGAUGACGUUGACCUGUCAGAGAAGCGGGAGUUUACUAUGGUGAUGAAGAAUCCAUUGCAAGCCCACGUAAUCCCUAGAAUUUAAUACGUGUGAGAAUUCUGAGAAUUCUGUACUAAUUUUUAGUACGUGUGAGAAUCCUGUACUAAUUUUUAGGGUAAAUUACAUAGUAGUCACUCAUGUUUGAUGUCUAUUACAACCUCAUACAACGUCUUUAAAACAUUUCACUUUCAUACAUCAUUCAAAAUAAUACAUCCGUUAGAUUUUCCGUCCAUUAAUCUGUUAAAUACUGACGUGGCUGCCACAUCUGUGCUGAUGUGGCUGCCAAAUGUGUGUCACGUGGCAAAAAUAAUAAUUUUUUAAUUUUUUUUAAAAAAACCUAAAUCUUUGAAAUUUAAAAUAAAAUAAAAUAAAAUAAAAAAUAAAAAAAUAAAAACCCAAAAGCUGAACAAAACCCCACCCCCGUGAACCCCUCUCAGCCUUCUUCUUCCCCGCUCCCAUCUUCCCCCACCCCAUACUUGCACCUUUGAAGGAAAAAAAAAACCCAAAGAACAACCCAGAUCCCAUACCCCAUACGACCACCCCCCAACCCAUAUCCCAUUACCACGCCCCCCCUGCGCGCGCGCGCGCGAAACCCAACCCAGAUCCCAUUACCACCCCUCCGGCGCGAAACCCAUAUCCCCCCCCCCCGAACUGCAAGGACGUCAUCCUCACCUGCAUCAUCUUCAUCGUCGAAGACGACAACUGUGGAGCCAAAAAUAUUCACUAGGCGACACGUGGAUUUGUGAACGAAAGAGGACAAAAAUACCCUUGAGGUAUAUCGGGAUUCCUACGCGCAAGUAGUGGGUAAUCAUCCUCAACCAAUUCAAAAAUGCUCCAGAAGAGGUAACUAAUUCCAAAUUAUCUUAUUUUAGGUAAUUAUUUCCAAAACUUAAUUUCCCUAAUAUAUUAUUUAGUUAAUUAAUUAUCUAAAUAAUAUAUUCUUCCCAUAUCUCCUAAAAUCAUCCCUUAAUUACCAAUUUGAAACAUCCACUCAAACCUAAAAAAUGGGAUAGGGCCGGCUACCCCAUUCAAAGUCUAUUCCAUCACCUUUUUUUCUACCUUUUCCACCUUUCCUUCCCUUUUAAAUUAGCCAAUCAAUACCAUAAAUAAUAAAAUAUCUCCUUUCAUAUUUAAUUAGCCAAUUAAUUGGCUAAUUAAACCUAAAAUUAAACCUAAAAAUCCCAUAGUAACCGGCCACAUUCCCUCCCAUCUUUUCCCUACCUUUUUUUUUAUUUUCCUCCACUUUAUUACUCAAAUAAAGCUAAUCAUUUAAGACCCCAUUCAUUUCUAUUUUAUUAGCCAAUAAAGGGGCUAAUAAAAAACCACAAAUUGACUAAGAAAAAGGGAAGGGUGUGGCCGGCCCUUCCUUGGUGAAAAAUGGGGAAGCCUAAUCCUAUAAAUAGGCUCCUAUUCUCACCAAAAAUUCAUUCCAAACCUCUUGCAAAAAUUCCAAAACACUCUAAACACUAUUUCUCUCUAAAUUUCUAACUUUGGCAUCGGAGGUUCUUCGGCCAAAGCCCCCCCCAUUCAUCGUGGGCGCGUGAGGCUUUUGGCCUUAACCUAAGGUGCUAGUUUGUUUUGUAGGUGCAAAAUCGUCCAAGAUCGAAGAGGAGAAAAUUUGCAUCCACAAAUUGGUGCUUUCAUUGAGAGUUGUAAUCCAUACUCGUAGAAGACUCUCGUACAAAAAGGUUUUUUUCUUUAUUUUCUAGUCUAUUUGAAUAUUUUUCAUACGUUCUUAUUAUUAGAAUUUUCUACUUGCAAAGGUUCUUUGAUAAAACGUAUAAGAAAAAUAUAAUGACUAGAAAUUUAGAAAAUUCCGCAAGUAAAAAAUUCUAGUAUUCAAGAAAUGGGACUACGGAGAUCCAUGAGGCAAAAUGCGACAAGAAGGGGAGCGACAUCAUCACCACGAGCUUCCACCAUGGGAACCACCGUGAUGGCUACCUCGGUAGCCACCCGCGGCGAGGUCCAUGGUGCCUUCACCACGGCCGCCAUGGGAACCACCACGGUGGCUACUUCGGUAGCCGCUCGUGGCGAGGUCCAUGGAGCCUUCACCACAGCCGCCAUGGGAACCACCACGGUGGCUACUUCGGUAGCCACUCGUGGCGAGGUCCAUGGAGCCUUCACCACGGCCCGAGUCGUGCCAUCCAAGUUUACGUGGACCAAAGCCCAAGCCUCGCAUUCACAUGCACCGCGCAUUGAGCAGCCUGCUCCCCGUGAUCCAGCCUGCUCUUGUAGCCCAGCCUGCUCCAACGAUCCAGCCUGCCCCAGUGAUCCAGCCUGCCCCCGCAGCCCAGCCUGUUUUCAUGGUUUCCCAAGCUGCCCAAGUCCGCCCGAGACAAUCUCAACCAUCCGGACCAAUCAUCGAGGCUGAGGCGUUUUCACCGCAUUUCUCUGCAGAUUUGACAUUCCCCAACUCAAAUCUCGCACCUGGAGUCAACCACCCUUUCAUUGUUCAAGGAGGUGCAUUCCAUCCAAGUUCUUCCAAUCCGAAUGGCGAACAAAACUUGUCCCGACAAGUCAUAGAAUUGACGAGCGCCCUUGCACAACAAACCACCUUGGUGAAUCAACUUUUACAACGUACUGAGAUGCAUCGCGCUCACGAUGAAGUUUCCCGGAGUAGAACAAGGGUAGACAAUGAGCCUUUUAAACAGCGUCCUGGAAAGCAGCCAUUCAACCCAUCACAAGUGGAGCAUUCAGACAGUGCACACUCUCGAUUGGGCCCCCGAAAUAGCAUAUACUCCCGUCUUAGCGCGCGGAUGAGCGUGCACUCUCGGUUAGGCCCACGAGCAAGUAUACAUUCACGGUUGGGGCCACGCUUUGAUAAUCAACAUGGGCAACCUUCCAGGCAAAGCAUUCAUUCGCGAUUAGGCUCACAAGGAGUAUCCUCCACAUCACAUCGGAGCAGGCAGCCUGACAAACGGAAGGAAACGAUCGUUCAAUCUGGCUCUAGUUCAACCGAUAGCCUGCAAAGAAAUCCCUCGCCUGCUAGGAAUCUAUCUCAUCCAUUGCAGCCACAGCGUAGACGAGCCGAGCGAGAAGAAGAGCAGCCUAGACCGGUAGAAAAAGACCAAGGGCAGCAAAAAGCUCCGCUACCCCCAACAAAAGCAAAUCCAAGAAGAGGUAGAAAGGCUUUUCAAUGAGCGGAUGCGUGAUUUUCGGCGCAACGAAAUGGUUGAUGAGGCACUAAGGCGAGAUAUGACCAACAUGAGCAGGUCACCUUUCGCGGAUGAGAUCGAGCAGGCAGAGCCUCCGCGCAAGUUUAGCAUGCCACACUUCACAUCUUUCAAAGGAGAUGGGGAUCCCGAAAGACACUUGAAGCAUUACCGAAAUGCGAUGGUCCUUUAUCGGAAUAAUGACGCCCUUAUGUGCAAAAUAUUCGCCACUACUUUACAAGGCGAGGCACAAGAUUGGUUUCAUACCUUGCCGGCACGAUCCAUCCUGAAUUUUGAUGAUCUUUCCUUGGUCUUCACCAAAGAAUACUCAUCUUAUCGAUCGAUCAAGAAGAAGUCCGAUCACCUGUUCAACGUAAAGAAAAACCCAAAAGAGUCGCUUCGCGAUUACGUGAAGAGAUUCAAAGCAGAGAAGGCGAAGAUCGUCGGAUGCGACAACUCGAUAGCAAGUGCAGCCUUCCAAAAAGGACUACCAGCAGACCACCUACUGUUUGGAGAAAUGAUCAUGAAAGAAGACCUAACUCUAGCAGAUUCCUUUGCUCUGGCAGAAAAGCAUGCGCUUUGGGACGAGGCUCGACAAGCAGAAAAGGCUCCCGAACAACCUCGAAAAGAGUUGGCAGCUACUCAAAAGAAGGAUGAAAAACAACCCAACAAGGGCAGGCAGGAGUUCAAGCGCAGGGACCGACCCACGACCAAAGAAGGCCCGAUGACCAACAACUAUUCUAAGUUCUCAAUUCCGAUUCAUCAAAUCCUUCGUGACGUCAAGAAUGAACCAUGGUUCAAGUUGCCGAAGCAGUCAAAAGGAGAUACUUCCAAGUUGGACCACACUAAGUAUUGUGCAUUCCACCGAGGUCCCGGUCACACAACCAACGAUUGCUACACUUGGAAGAACUACCUAGAGAAACUCGUGAAAGAAGGCAAAGUCGAUAGAUAUUUGGACAAGCCAGCUGAGCAGCAAAAAAGGAAUGCAGACGGAGAUGAGGAGCCACCAACUAAGACGAUUCGAAUCAACGGCAUUUUUCGCUGAGUCCGAGCACUUAGGGGCUACUAAUAACUCCAAAAAGAGGAAGAUCCAGCAGGCCUUACUAAUCUCACAAGUUCAUGCAGUCGAUACCCAACCUGGACCUAUCAUUGGCUUCACGGAGCAGGAUGCAGAAGGAGUCGACUUCCCACACGACGAUGCAUUAGUAGUAUCUGUCCAACUAGCCCAUGCUAUAGUCGACAGGAUGAUGGUUGACAAUGGAAGUGCGGUCAACCUACUUCAACUUUCAGUCAUUCAGAAGAUGGGCCUGGAAAGUACAAUCAUACGCCGGGCAGAGGUACUUACUGGAUUCAACGGACACACCUCAACUGCCAUCGGUCAUAUCAUACUUGACGUAAAAACACCGCCAGUCGUCUCAAAGCAAACAUUCACGAUUGUAAGCGACCCAUCUCCCUACAAUGGGAUUCUUGGGAGACCUUGGUUGAUCAAGCUGGAUGCUGUCACUUCCGUCAAGUAUCAAAAAAUCUGAUUCCGCAUCCCGGAAGGAGGAGUCGGAGAGAUCAAGUCUGACCAGGCUUCAUCCCGACGAUGCACUGUGCAAAUGUUAAAAGAAACAAAGAAAAAGACCUUUACCCCCGUAGAGGUUACCGAAGUCCAAAAGGGCAAAGAAAUUGCCAAAUAGCAAUUACAGCAGGUGGAUCGAGAAGAUGGCACCCAAGCAGACAGGAUAGGAUGGAAACCCGAAGAGGACGCCGAAGACAUCAUUCUUGAUCCCCAGCAGCCGGAAAAGACGACUAAAAAUUGGCUCACGACUAAGCCCAGACGAGAAGGAAGAACUCACAAUUUUCCUUAGGAAAAACCGAGAUAUCUUCGCAUGGUCACCAUCCGACAUGCCCGGUAUUGAUCCCAAAGUGGCCUGCCACAAGCUGCACGUCGAUCCAACUGCCAAACCGGUAAUUCAAAAAAGAAGACAUUUCGCUCCCGAACGAGUAGCGAUCAUCGAGGCAGAAAUCGACAAACUAUUGGAGGCCGGUUUCAUAGAAGAGGUAGCACACUCGGCAUGGCUUGCUAAUGUCGUACUAGUCAUGAAGAAAGAGAAGGGCAAAUGAGGGGUUUGCGUAGACUACACUGACCUCAACAAAGCAUGCCCAAAAGACCAUUAUCCUGUCCCCCCGGAUUGAUCUAUUAGUAGAUUCAACUUCUGGAAACCAGUUACUUAGUUUCUUAAACGCAUACUCCGGCUACAACCAAAUAGCCAUGCAUGAGCCCGACAAGGAGAAAACUGCGUUCGUGAUAGAGCGAGGCACUUACUGCUACAAGGUCAUGCCUUUUGGCCUCAAGAACGCGGGAGCCACUUACCAAAGGUUAGUAAAUAUGAUGUUCAAAAAGCAAAUUGGGGUAACCAUGGAGGUCUAUGUCGACGAUAUCAUGGUAAAGGGCAAGCAGCGAUCAGAUCACAUUCGCAAUUUAGCAGAAGCUUUCAAUAUCCUUAGAAGGUACAAGAUGAAGCUCAACCCCACCAAGUGCACGUUUGGAGUAUCUUCAGGUCGAUUCCUAGGGUACUUAGUAACCCAACGAGGAAUUGAGGCACAUCCCAAGCAAAUCCAAGCAAUCAUAGAGAUGAAAUCUCCAACUACCUUGAAGGAGAUCCAAAGCUUGACCGGACGAGCAGCCGCCCUCAAUCGCUUCCUCUCACGAUCCACCGAUCGAUGCAAACCCUUUUUCAAAGCUAUCAAGAGGGCACAAAGAAACAAAUGGGAUGAAGAAUGCGAAAAAGCUUUCCAAGACUUGAAGAGUUAUCUCACAUCACCUCCCUUACUAUCCAAGCCGGAAGCAGCGGAGGAUUUAUAUAUUUAUUUGGCAGUUUCCGAGGUAGCAGUGAGCUCUGCUCUCAUACGAGAAGAGCUGGGGGCCCAACUGCCGGUAUUCUACACUUCUAAAGCUCUUCUCGAUGCAGAAACAAGAUAUCCGAAGAUCGAAAAAUUAAUUUUGGCGUUAGUUGUUGCGGCUCGGAAGCUCAGACCCUACUUUCAAACUCAUACAGUCAUUGUUAUGACUCAAUAUCCCUUACGAUCAAUAUUACAUGGUCCGGACGCUUCUCAACGAGUGAUGAAAUGGGCAUUGGAACUUGGCCAAUAUGGUUUAGUUUUCCAACCUCGCACAGCGAUAAAGGCCCAAGCCUUGGCGGAUUUCGUGGCAGAAUUCACACCUAGCCUAGGCAACGCAACAGUGCGGCCCAACGACGCCCCAGAAGCAGCAGAGAGUACCUUAGCCACACUUACUCCAUCCAAUAAAGAUUUCUGGAACUUGCAUGUCGACGGUGCAUCCAACUAUAAAGGCUCGGGAGCAGGUGUAGUUCUUGUUACUCCAGAUGGCUCAAUGCUCGAGCAGGCGAUCACUCUAGGUUUCAAAGCAUCCAAUAACGAAGCAGAGUACGAGGCUCUACUAGCGGGCCUCCGAAUGGCAAAAGACUUGGCGGUGAAGAAACUCGCAAUUCAUUCUGAUUCCCCAACUAAUCACCAGCCAGGCUACUGGGGAAUACACUGCAAAACACCCAAGGAUGGCACAAUACCUAGAGAAAGUACGCCAGCAGCUUGAAGCAUUUCAGACUUACACUCUCACUCAAGUUCCGCGGGCAGACAAUGCACAUGCAGAUGCACUAGCUGGUUUAGGCUCCGCCCUUGACCACCAAUUCAAACGCUCUAUUCCGGUGGAAUAUCUAGACAAGCCAAGCAUAGAGAUGGAGUCGAUAGCCGAAGUGUCACAGGUUAGUGUAACUCCCACUUGGCAAAGUUCAAUUAUAGACUACUUGGUCAACGACACAUUACCCACAGAAAGAUUGGAGUCAAGGAAGCUUCAAAUUAAGUCGGCACGCUACUAUAUGUGGAAUGGCAUUCUCGUCCGAAGAUCCUACACCGGACCACAUCUCCGCUGCCUGGCACCUCCCGAUGACUUGAAGGUUCUAAGCUCAAUCCACGAAGGCGUUUGUGGGAAUCACUCUGGAGGUCGAUCCUUAGCCCAAAAGGCUCUUAACGCAGGCUAUUACUGGCCUACCAUGCACCAAGAUGCUAAGGAGUUAGUACAAAAAAUGCGACCGUUGCCAACGCUACAAACCAGUACCAGCACACUACCCGCCAGUGAGCUACACACCCGCAAACGAGUCCUUGGCCAUUCAUGCAGUGGGCAAUCGACCUGGUAGGGCCUAUGCCGCCUGCUACGGGGGGCAGAUGCAUGAUGAUCGUGGCAACCGACUAUUUCACCAAAUGGGUAGAAGCAGAACCCAUGACAACCACGACUCAGACGGAUAUAGAGAGCGCUUUAUAUGGAGGAACAUCAUUUGCCGAUUUGGCAUCCCUCAGUCCAUCGUCACUGACAACGGUCCUCAAUUUGUGGGAAAAGAUUUGGCAAAGUUCUUCCAAAAAUACGGCAUCAAACAACACAUGUCCACACCAAGAUAUCCUCAAGGCAAUGGGCAGGCUGAAGCAUCCAACAAGACGAUUCUCGACUGCCUCAAGAAAUCCCUCACCGACAAAAAGGGAAAAUGGCCAGAUGAGCUCCCAGGAUGUUUAUGGGCAUAUCGCACCACCAAAAGACGAGCAACCGGUGAAACUCCUUUCUCUUUGGCGUUUGGUUCGGAGGCAAUCAUACCUCCCAACAUCAUCGUGCCAAGCAUCAACACUCUAUUGCUAAACGUUGAGCGGAACAGUAAAGAAAUGGCCACAGAUUUAGAUCUGGCAGAAGAAAGGCGCGAACAAACCAUCACCCGCAUCGCAGCCUACCAGCAGCAGCUCAUUUCCAGCUACAACAAAAGGGCCAAGAUCCGGCAGUUCCAACCUGGAGACCUAGUCCUAAGAAAAGCUUUCAUCACUGCCCGCAGAGAAGGCUCGAAAAAAAUGGACCCCAUCUGGGAAGGUCCUUACAAGAUCAACAGAGUCGGCGGCAAAGGCAGUUAUACUCUUGCUACCAUGAAUGAUAAAGAGAUCGAGAAGCAAUGGAACGCCUACAAUUUGAGGAAAUACCAUGUGUGACUUCACACUAUAUCAAGACCCGAAGACUCGAGCAUCUCAACGGUCACCACCUCGUAAACCGAGGACUAUCCAAUCAUCAUGCAGUUUUUGCAACCAAGUUAUUCGCUCAUUUUAUUUUUCAAUAAAGAAUUCAAAAGUAAUUUGUAAUUUGGCUUUAAUAUAUGUCUACAACAACUUAUUUCUUUCUGCAUUUCAAAAGAAAAUUACACCCCCCAAGGGACCAACUGUGCUCUCCAAGGAGGGAGGAUAAACUCAACACUCCGAAUAUCCAGACGUGGAUGAGCUUGGCUGCCCUAGAAUGACUAGGUGCAUGAUGGCUUGCGCCGGGAUUCCUAGAAGUAGCCACAAUGGUCUGUUUCAAGGCUUAGCUAGUUGAAGGAUUAUGGGUCUAUCGGCUUAAUCCGCAGGGAACCGGGCCCUAGAUACGGAGGGGGCACAUUAUGCAGCACACCCAAUGGGCGGCUGCCCUGGAAACCUAAAGCUGCUACCGAGUGCACUAAGGUAGCCUACGGAUUUCCAGAAGACUGCCUACGGCUUGCCCUUCGAGCAGUAGAACCACGCUAGACUUAUGCAACCGCACAUUAUUGUGAAAGGUUAAACAAGUUAGCGUGCACACACGAAGAUUUUAUCCACUACCGACAUGCUACGUAGUUGAUAAGCUUCACCUCUGUCAAACGCAGAAUAACUUAUACCAAAUCCUAAAGUGUUGUGAUACUUGCUACACGGCCUACGGAAUUGGAAAAAUCCAAGGUUGAAUAACCAAGUGGUUACGCGGAUUCGUCUGCUUCUGUAAGUAAGGCAUCCGGCUGCCAACCCUAUGGUUAAUAACUUUGCAGAAGUUUCUACAUCAACACCUACGGUUGCAUAGGCUAUGUGGGCCUGUCUACUUAUAGAAAAGUAGCACGCCUGCCACUGGCUUAUAUAAGGUCUAAAGGUUAAAAAAAAAAAUGGGAAAAGCAAAAGAAGCGAGUUUAUUAAAUUUUAUAGCAAAAUUGAUAAACAACAAGCAAAUACCAAAAGAGUUCAAGCAAAAGCAACAAAGGAAAGAAAAGGAAACCCUAAAAGCUACCUAGAAGACUACUCUUCGGUAGUUUGGACAUCUCCCAACUGCUCGGUUGUUACACCUUCAGCAGCCUUGGUGUUCUCAGCAGCGGCAUCCUCCGGACCUUUACCCUCGACUGUUCCAGCCUGGGUAUCAACUCCUCCAGCUAUUUCACCGAUAGAAGACUCAAAGGUAAAAUCGAGCAAGUCUUCUGGGGAAAUAGAGAAGGUCUCGAAGUCUUUACCGGAAAACUCAAAGUCAGACGGCCGCCCAUAGAGAUGAUCUACAUAGCCCAGCUUGUAGAAAUCAGAUUGGUUCUGAAUAAGCGAAGCCUCGAAACCAUUUUUCUCACUCUUCAACUGCUCAUUCUCCUCAAACAGGCAAGCACGAACUCGCUGCAACUCCUCAAUUUCUUUCUUAAGAUUGUCGUUGGUCUUCAAAACACCUUGAAGUUCCGACACUUGAGGCUCAAGCCUGUCAGCAACCUCUUUGAAGUGGAUCGCUUGGUUGUAAGUAGCAAUCAAUUCUUCAUCCUUUGCAUAAGCAGCGGAGCGAAGUUCAGAUAUGGAGCGUUCAAGAUCUCGAAUCUGAGGUAUGUAACGCUCGAUUUCCUUCUCUGCACUUUCAUUCUUUGUUUGGACCGCAUCAAACCUAGUCUUCAAAUCCAUGAUCUCCUGGUGAGCGGCCUCAAGCUGCUGAGAAGUGGGGUCAGAAGUAUGAGAUUCCUUCAAAGCAGCAAGCUCAGAUUCCAAUUUUUUGAUUUUUUUCAACCGAGGAAUAAGCUUCGGCAGCCAUAGUUCUUGCCAUCUCUUUAGCAGCCUUGGUGUCCUCUUGGUCAAGGAACAUAGACUCGGCUGCCAGAAUUGUUGUUUUCUGCAUCAUGGCUAGCAGAGCAGUCUUCCUAUACUCGGGUGUAUGCUUUGCAAAAAAGACUCGGACCAACAAUCUCUUUGACGCCAUCAACAAACUGGGCGCAUACAUCCAUGUCUUCAAGAAGAUCUGGUUUCAAAAGAGCACAAAUCUUAGCAGCCUCCUCAGAAACGGCCUUGGCGGAUUCUUCAAGCCUGCCUGAGCGAGCAGCUUCAUUCUUAUCAGCAGACGAGAUGGUUGCAGCAGCGGAAGAAGCAGUAUUCGGCGCCACUUUAGCAGACAGGGGCACCUUAUCACUCUUCAUCAUAGUAGCAAGUCUCUCUUCAAGGGUAAGUCAGGUUUAGUCCCGGACGGACGUUUUGGCACAAACUUCGGUACCAAAGGCACGGAAGAACUUUUACGCUGAGCAAUUUUUUUCAGCAAUCGAGCUAGCAGCCUUCGAAGCAAUAGGCGUUACUGGCACAAAUGUAGCAGUUCGUUCUUUCUCGCCCUUAGAGGAAGUCAGGUCAAUCACAAUCUUGGGAGCAGCCGGAGAAUCCCCACGAGCAGUCUUCAUUUUCUUCUCAGCAGGUAUCUCUUGAGCAGGCGGGGAAUGUUUCUUUUUCCCACCUUCAUUGGUAGUAGGCUCCACCACAGUGAUAGGACGAGCCAUCGCGUCUGCCUUGAUCCGUUUUAUUUCUUCUUCUGGGGGUAGUCCACCUUUUUCCCUACGAAGAGGACUAAGCAGCCAACGCCACUCACGAUACUCGGAAGGAAUACCCAGAGCGACAUGCACUUUUUUCAUAUCUGGAGAAACCCUAGGAGUUGAGCCAAAUUCCGAAUCUACAAAAAAAAAAGAAAAAAAAAACAGAAGACAAUCAGAAAAUUGAAGAAUGAUUUGGCACUAAAGCAAAGCAGCCGAAAAAGACUAAGCAGUCUGCUUACCAGAUAUGAAGACCGUUGAUACACGCAGCUCGGGAGAAGAAUCAGAUUCCCAUUCUCCACUUAUCUCCAAAGUCUCUUUGGCCCAAUCAUGAUCUCCUUUACUCGAAUUAUCAAAAAGCUUAUGACGGAUUCGCAGUUGUCCAACUCCAUCAAUACGACCUAUGUCAAAGAAAUACCAAAAUUCGUUGGUGGUUAGUCCCAAGUCAAAGAAUUGGUUCAAAUUGUGGAACCCCACCAUCACUCGGACCGCAUUCGGGGAACAUUGGGCAGGCGCACAUUUCAUAGAGCAAAGCACUUCUUGGAAGAAAACGCGGUAUAGGGAAAGUAAACCCUAACACAAAAUAGUAAGGAUGGAACUUGAUAGUUCUCCGAGUUCCACUGCAUGGUUCUCGGCUGCUACCAUCUUUAACUCGUCUCACACGCACUCCCGACGGAAUGGCAUGCCAAUACGUUUCAAGAAAAUCUCUAAACAAAUUGUCGGAGCUAAUCUUGAUGUGAGCAGCUUUGAAGUAGCCAAUCUUGCUCAAAGACCCGCCUUGACGGUACAGCGGGGGCACACCAUCAUCAUUCUUACGGCUCGAGGAAGACAUGCUUGAAAAUUCUACAAAAGUACAAGGAAGAUUUGUUAGAGAGUUGUUAAAAAAAAAAAAAAAAAAGAAAAGAAACAGCUCUCGGCAGCAAAAAAAAAAAAAAAAAAAAAAAAAAAAAAGAAACAGCUCUCGGCAGCAAAAAAAAAAAAAAAAAAAAAAAAAAAAAAAAAAAAAAACAAGAAUUAGGCUUAAAGCCGCAGGACCAGCAAACCUGCCAGGCCCCACGGCCUGGCUUGCUUCAACGCCCAGCAAGAAAAAAAUAUAUAUAUUUUCAUGGCAUUACCAUGCCAUGGUUCACCAGAUCAACCUAUAACAAGUCUCUGAUUCCCAUCAGGCCAAGAAUCAAGAUCCAAAGAUUCCAGAAAAUCAAGAAGACAAGAAAAAUAAUUUUUUCUUACUUGGAAGCAACGAAGAGCGAUCCUUUACACGGGCAAGACGUAGAAGAUUGCUAGAGGAGGGGGAACAAAUAUCCUCUAAGCUCUCUUUUUCUCUUGUAAGGAUGAAUAAGUUUCACUCUAAAAGUUGAUUUAACAAUCCACUUAAGGUGGACUUAAAUAAGCUUUGGGGAAAUUUAUUUCCUUUUCCUAGAAGGAUUUAAUUUCCUAUUGAAAGAAAGAAUCAACAACAAAAUAGGAAACAGUUCAGAAUUUCCUAAAGCAAGAAAAUCUCUACACCUAUUGCCCUUUUCUGCAAACAGCUCAACAGGUGUGGGGGCAUUUGUGGAGCCAAAAAUAUUCACUAGGCGACACGUGGAUUUGUGAACGAAAGAGGACAAAAAUACCCUUGAGGUAUAUCGGGAUUCCUACGCGCAAGUAGUGGGUAAUCAUCCUCAACCAAUUCAAAAAUGCUCCAGAAGAGGUAACUAAUUCCAAAUUAUCUUAUUUUAGGUAAUUAUUUCCAAAACUUAAUUUCCCUAAUAUAUUAUUUAGUUAAUUAAUUAUCUAAAUAAUAUAUUCUUCCCAUAUCUCCUAAAAUCAUCCCUUAAUUACCAAUUUGAAACAUCCACUCAAACCUAAAAAAAUGGGAUAGGGCCGGCUACCCCAUUCAAAGUCUAUUCCAUCACCUUUUUUUCUACCUUUUCCACCUUUCCUUCCCUUUUAAAUUAGCCAAUCAAUACCAUAAAUAAUAAAAUAUCUCCUUUCAUAUUUAAUUAGCCAAUUAAUUGGCUAAUUAAACCUAAAAUUAAACCUAAAAAUCCCAUAGUAACCGGCCACAUUCCCUCCCAUCUUUUCCCUACCUUUUUUUUUUAUUUUCCUCCACUUUAUUACUCAAAUAAAGCUAAUCAUUUAAGACCCCAUUCAUUUCUAUUUUAUUAGCCAAUAAAGGGGCUAAUAAAAAACCACAAAUUGACUAAGAAAAGGGAAGGGUGUGGCCGGCCCUUCCUUGGUGAAAAAUGGGGAAGCCUAAUCCUAUAAAUAGGCUCCUAUUCUCACCAAAAAUUCAUUCCAAACCUCUUGCAAAAAUUCCAAAACACUCUAAACACUAUUUCUCUCUAAAUUUCUAACUUUGGCAUCGGAGGUUCUUCGGCCAAAGCCCCCCCCCAUUCAUCGUGGGCGCGUGAGGCUUUUGGCCUUAACCUAAGGUGCUAGUUGUUUUGUAGGUGCAAAAUCGUCCAAGAUCGAAGAGGAGAAAAUUUGCAUCCACAACAACGAGCAGGAGCAGCAGGGCGACGAUGAGAUAUCCCGGUCGACGGCGAGAUCGGGUGGUGACGAAAGACCUCCAUGAGGAGCAGAGGGAUUAGAGAGAGAGAUAUGCAGUGGUGAUGGGGAAAGGGCGGCGUUGAUCUGGGAAAAGAGAAGGAAGGGGAGGUGAAGAGAGUGAAGAAGAGGGAGAAAUGGGUCGGGGAUUUAUGGGUUUCUGUUUUUCUGUUUUUUGUUUUUCAAAUAGAAUUGGGGGUUUCAGGAAGGUGAGGGGUGGGGUGGGGGAUUGUAGUGGAGGUGGAGGUGGAGGUGGGCGUGGGUAGGUUAGGGGGCUGCAGGGAUGGAUGGGUUUCAAGGUUUUUUUUUAUUUUUUUUAUAAUAAUUUAGAAGAUUCAGAUUUUUUUUAAAUUAAAAAAAAAAAUUUACCACGUGGCACACAUUUGGCAGCCACGUGGCACAAAUGUGGCAGCUACGUCAGCACUUAACGGAUCAAUGGACGGAAAAUCUAACGGAUGUAUUAUUUUGAAAUAAAAUGGUACAUGAUGUAUGAAAAUGAAAUGUUUUAAAGACGUUGUAUGGGAUUGUAAUAGAUCUCAAACCUGAGAGGCUACUAUGUAAUUUACCCUAAUUUUUAUUACGUGUGAAAAAUUUAUACUAAUUUUUCGGCGCAUGCUGAACCGUUAAAUCUAUUAGCGUAUGAUUAUGUAAUUUGGAAAAUUUGGAUUUUUAGUUUACUAGUGUGAUUCAAGACAGAUUUUAUAACUUCAAUAUUUAGUAAGUGAUUUGAGUGAGCUGUAUUUGCUAGUUUUUAGCUUAUAACUAAUACAACUUUCAAAUCUUGGAAGACAUCUUCUUUAUUUAGAGAUUGCCCAAGAGCAAGGAGCAUUUGAGAAUCGAUGGGAAUGACUACACUACACAGGUACAACUCUCCUUUAAUCUUGGCGUCACAGCUUUACUGAUGGCUAUUUCGAAAUCCAAGUUACUGUAUUUUGAACAAAUUCGGUGGAGUAGUGUUUUUGUUUUUACCUUCGAAUGUAUGGAAAUAGAAGAAUAAACAACUCUUUGAAGACAACUUCUUUUCGACAAAGGUGUUCAGUUACCAUUUUCGUUCACUGCUUAAUUUGUUAUACUAUGCUUCGUCCCCAAAAUUCGUCAUCUGAAGUAAUCUCAAGUUUUCAACUUCAUGAUUGGAUUUGAUGGUGGGGCGUUGAGAUGCAGUGAAUAUGUGACAUUAAAGUUGGGGAUGCAAGCCAUACGGUUGGUCAGAUACAGAUAUGCUAAUAGUAUUAGCAACCAAAUUUUUGCUGCAACAGUUCCAUUUUUUCAGAUGGAAAGUCUGACUAGCGUAUUUAUAAUUUGAUCUUUUGUAGGGUGGUGGUUCCGGCACCCAACAAAUUGUGAUCGAAGGCUCCUUAUGUGAUGAUUAUUACAAGAUUCGGGAAUAUCUCUACUCACUAUUUUAUUUGCUUUAAGUAGAGAUACAUAAUAUCUAACGCCUUUGGGUGAACCAUCAUUUGAUGCGGUGUUAAUUUCCAGUGAUUUUAGGGUACACAGUAAAGUUUAAUUUAAAUAUAAGACUUAUUUUCCGUUGAAGUUGUCAUUUUGUUCAUGCAAGAUGGAAAUCUUUUUCAGGAAUCAGGAAACAAAGCAUGUUUGAAGGGUUAGACACCCAAUUGUCAUGUUGUCCUCUUAUACCAAGUCCCACACGGGUUAAAUUCAAAUAGCACCAAGACAUUAAUGCGGAUGAAGCUUUUAACGGAAAAGAUUUUUUUUUUUUUUAAAUGAGGAUUAGUUGUGGGGCCCAUAUCAUAUCAAAGUUUAACGAUCCGAAUAGUUUAUUUUUCAAGUUACACCUCUUAGAUCAUCUUUGCAAAAUAUUAGUUAAAUCGAAAAUAUUUUGAUAUCUAAUUGAGUUCAAAUAAAUUGACGAACCCUUUUGUCUAUAAGAAACAAUGAAAUUUCAAUGAGAUAAUUAAAUAGGCAAGUGGUUUCGGAUUGAAUUGAAUUUUGCAAGGAUGAUGUAUGAAUCGAGACUUACAAAAUAGACGGCACGAAUCGUUAAAUUUCAAUGUAGAGUGGAUCCCACAACUAAUCCUUAUUUCUUAAAAAAAAAAACGAUGAUACAUCCCUUAAAUGGCAUGUACCUACGAAAACAAAACAUAACAAACAAAUUACAGUUAGACAUUUCAACUUUUUCACAUGACAAUAUGCAGUUGAGUUUGGAUAAUGCCGCAAAACUGGCAAGUAAAUUACACAAUGCCAUGCAUUUUAGCUUCUUAACGAAGGGUAAUGUUAGAGAGACUAAAUUGGAAAACAAAAUUUGCAAACUAAGGGGGGUGUAGUCAUAAUAGGAUUUGAUAGGAUUUUAAUAGACUUUAAAAUCAAGGUGUAGUCAAUUACAAUUUUAAAAGAUUUAGAAAUCAUGGUGUAGUCAAAGUAAGAUUUAAGAGGAUUUUAAAGAAUACAUCCAUAUCCAAUGGUAGUCAAUUAAGAUUUUAAAGAAUACAUAUAAAUCCAGAGUUAGUGAGAAUGCAAAAAAUUUGAUAGGAUUUGAAUGGGAGGGGAUUUUGAUGGAUUUAAAGGUGGAUCGUAUAUAUACCAAAUGCUAUCAAGAAUCCUACCAUCCCCCAUCUGAUUUCUUUUCACGUCGGCAAACAGAAAAGAACCUCCCAACCCCUUCAUCUUCAUCUAUACCUUCCUCUUCGGAACACAUCUCAUCGUCCUCUUCGACUUCGAAUUCAUCGUCUUCAUUCUCAUCUAUCAUGGAUUUUUUUUUUUCUUUCAAAUUCUACUUGUAAACAACUAUUGGGUUCUGGCAAGUUCUCUAUUUUCUCAGAAAAGGAAUAGUAUUCCUCCAUUUUUUGCCCUACCUGAGAUCCGAUGGUUCAAUAUUUUUUUAACAUAUCGCUGGAAUCAGUUUUUUUCUCCCAUGUUCUCCUCGCACGAAACCGAUUUUCAAUGGAAAAUUGCCUCAAAUCGCCAAAAUUAUCUCCAUUACCCCAAACCCACAUAACUUGCAGAAGCUCAAUGAGUUCGGCGCUGGGGAAGUGGAGCUUGCCGAAAAUUAAUGAAAUGUGGUUUCUAAUGUUAUGCUUGGUAGGUACUUGAAGGGCAGGAAGCUAGAGUGUGCAUUGAAGUUUUGGAAAAUGAUGAGCAUGGGAUUGAAAAUGAAUGGAACUACCAUGGUGAAUAUUUUUGCUACUUGCAGCUUGUGGUCAGUCUGGUAGACUGAGAAGGAAGGUUAGACACACUACUACAAAAGAGGCUAUCACUGGCGAAGCAAAAACCGACAAGAACUUCAAUUUCUGUUAGAAAUUUGGUAAAAAUCCGACAUAAAACCAUGCAAUGUUGGAUUGGAAUAGCGACAUCAUUGCUAGCAUCACGAAAGGGCUUCAAUGUCAGCUUGUCAGCUUAAUCCGCCAUGAAGCAGCGUCGGUUAAAAGUGAUAUCGAACUUUACGUCGGUUAAAAACGACGUGCUAUUCUAACAUGAUGGCGGUCAUAGUCAACAUCAAGUAGCAAUUAAACUAUAAAAUAUCCAACCCACUGUCAGUUUUAACCAACAUCAGCUAACAAUUAAAUAAAUAAAAUAUGCAAACUUAUUUGCUUUCGUUUUCAAUUAAUAAAUAUAUAAAAAGAUCUGACUUUGCUUUCGUUUUCAAUUAAUAGUAAUUAAAAAAAUUAUAUAAAAAUAAUAAUAAAUUUCAUUUAUGGGCCAAAACAAAUUCUUGCCUCUUCCGUUUUCAAUGAACCAUACUAAUGGUCUUAACAUGCUUCUUCCGCCUUAUUUAUAUGUCAAUGAAAACAAUUUUAAGCAAACUUCAUAUUAAAAAUAAAAUUUCUAAGAACUAUAUAUUAAAUUGAAAAUUAAUAACAUUUCUUAAAAAUGUACAACACAUACAAAUUCUUGCCGCACUUUAUUCCAGUAUGCCACCAACUCAACCCAUUGUGCAGCAUUCACAUCAGGAGGAGGGUGGCUGCACACCACGGCUGCUCUCUUAGUAUAAUACGGUUUUUAAAACUUAUUUCUAUACUCUUUGUGCGUAUGCUCUGCAACCUAAAGAUCAUGUAGCGGAUCAUAGGCAUUUUUGCUAUAUCUUCAUCUUCAAAAAAAAUAUUCCCUACAUCCAUAAAAAAAUCAAGCUAAUUAAUAAUUAUUAUAAUCAUUGACUUAUUCUUCUAUUUUCAAAUUUAAAAAAAAAAUAUAUAUAUAUAUAUAUAUGCCUUUAUCCUAUUCCAGAAAACUUCCUUAUCUUGUUCCUUAAUCUUACGUCAAUCACUCAUCAACGGGAGAUUUUUGUAAUCUCUAACCUCCCACUACAUAUUUUGAAAAGGCACUAGAAAUAUCACUAAUGCAUUUUCUAGACGAAUCAAACGAACAAAGUUGUUUUGUCCAUUUGGGAAUUGAGGGUCCGCGCCUCUGUUGAGAUGUUCCUUAUUCAUACAAAAAAAAAACAAUUAAAAGCCAAUAAACAAAAGUAAAUUUUCAAUUUAAGCAUAAUACUAGUUUAAACACAAAACAAAAACUGAAAUUAAUAAUAAUUCAAAAAUGAACUAGCUUCGAACUCUUCCUCUUCGAAAUGGAGUUCCUCAUAAUGUUGAUCUUCACUUUGUUGAUCUAUAGCAAAAGUUAGUGGAAGGAGAAUGAGUAAGGCUGAAAUGGAGGAAAGAGAGGGAGUAAGGACGCACGAGCGCAAAACUAAAGAAGUAAACGAGAUAAAGCGAAAUGAAAGCACGGAAGUAAUAGGGAAGAAAUGGGUUUAAAUAUGGAUAAUAAGUUGGCGUCGGUUAAGACCGAUAGUGGUUGUAAAUGACGUCGAAAUAUGUACACUUUGCGUCGGUAAAAACCAACAUCUACUCUGACACACUAACUAAAAUGCACGUGGCGUCGAAAUAUUUGGACUUCACGUCGAUUAAAACCAACACUAAGUCUAACACGACUUAAAUGCACGUAGUCUGACACACUUGACUGAAAGGCAACUGGCGUCGAAAUAGGAAAAAAUUGUGUCGGUUAAAACCGACGUGAGCCUGACAGACUUGACAAUGAUUGCAAGUGGCGUUGAAAUAAGAAAAUUUUACGUCGGUUCAAACCGACGUGAGCCUGACAGACAUGACAGUGAUUGCAAGUUGCAUGGAAAUAAAAAAAGUUGCAUCGGUCAAAACCGACGUGAGCCUGACAAACUUGAUUGUGAUUGCAAGUGGCGUCGAAACAAACGUGAAAAUUCCCGCCCAAAAUAUUUCAAUUUAACACGGGGGAGAGUAUAUAAAGGUCAUCAAUCUAUCACUUAUAACUGACACUGGAUUUCAAAAUAUUUAAAAAACUUAAAAUAUAUGUUGGUCAGAACCGACGCAGGCUUUAAAAUAUUUAAAAACAAUCACUAGUGUCGGCUAGAAGCGACACCUACUCCAACACCAACUUUAUGUCGCUUAAAAUUGACACAGUUUUUUUUAAUGCAACACCAGUAUUUAAAAAUUAUUAAAAUCUAUGUCAGUUAUAAGCGACAUUAACGAGCUAGGGUGUGAGCCAUAUCUUAGCUAUAGAAAUAAAUUCUACAACCAAGAUAUGGUGAAAAAUUAAAUUAAAUUAUAAAGACUACACAUACAUUAGAUAACAAAAUCUUACAAAAAAAUUAUCAAAUAUGCAGAGGAAUAACUAUAGUGCACAAAUUAAUUCACAACAAAAUAAUAAUUAAAUUGUAACAAUUCUUUCAAAUGCAUGAAAUAUAUGCAAAUGGAAUGGAUGAAUGUACUUACUCCCUUCUAAUCCCGUCAACACAUACCUAAAGCACCCAAGCAUGCACGUCUCAUACCAUGCUUAUACCAUUUGGCUCCGAAUACCUUAUAAUAUGAGUUAACUCCCGUUCAUCCCUUAACCCAAUUUUUGUAAUUAAACUCUCAGUUUCCACUUUAUUAAACAUGCAUUCCCCCUGACGCCUGACAUAUACAAGAUUUCAUUAUUUUAUAAUAAAUCAAUUUGUAUACUCAAGCCCUGCACCCUACGCCUGACAUAUACAAGGUUCAUUAUUUUAUAUUCAAGGCAAACUUCAGCCCUUGAAUAGCCUCACAACGCAAACACUUUACAAACUCAACACAACUCUUUUUCUUGUUUUGCAAUGCAUAUGUAUAUGCCAUGUUCACAGAGAUAUCAAUACUCACAUUUUCUUUAACAAGCCUGUAAGUUUCAACAUAAAUCAAAUUGAUUAGUAACAAGAGUAAUAUAAUCAUAAUAUUAACAAAAUAAUAAUCUUUGAUGUAAAUGAUAAGCAAUAUAUUACCAUUUCUUCAUUUUGUCGAUCCUCCUUUUCCAUUAUGUUUCUAUUUAAUAACUCAGUGUUUAAAUGGUUUGCUCAACUCAAAUUUAUUGCAAUUAGACAAAGGAACACGGAGAUUUAAGUGGCUCACCAAUUUGGCUACGUCCACUAGGGUUGCAUAUGCAUUUAUGUUUUCACUAUGUAAGAGAGAUUUACAAAAAAAAAAAAACAAUGAAGAUGGCCUAGAGCCUUUACAUAAGGUAAAAGAAAAGGAUGGUGGGAAGAGUGGUAUAUGAAGAAGAUGAGGUUUUGUUUCUUUUUCCCCGUGUGUUGUUGAUGAUGUUGUGUGUUGUUCUUCUCCCCGUUUCUCUCCUCCCUUUGCUUUUAUGGAUGAAGAAAUGGAAUCCUCCAUUAAGCCUUAAUGACAUGUUUCACUUUGUUUUGCAAUACUUGGACAUCUUGUAAUUGGAAGCAAUCAUUCCCAUGCAUGUGGACAAAUACUCAAAAACCACGUUCAAAGUCUAAGGAUUAUGAAUCCCACAUCUCCAAUUUUGGAGGGGAUGAAUCAUCACCAAAGAUUUAACUCUUACAUUCCUAAUUAUUACAAACUUGCCAACUCACUCUCAUGUAAACUUCCACCUCUUCACCCUAAUCAUUAACUUCUAUUAAUUAUCACCUCCACCUCAUCCUUGGGAGAAAAAUGAAUCAAGCAAAAACUACUCAAAUAAUCCCACCUUAAGCUCGGCUAUAGCAAUGAUAAUUGCCAUUAGCAAGUAAAAACAACUUUUAAGGCCUACCAAAAACAAUCUAAUACAUGUAUAAGUUACCUACAAAAUUACAAAACUACAAUGAGGAUGGCAAACACUAGAAACCUCUCUAGUUAGAGAAAUUUGAGUUUAAAAGUACAAGCUAGGCUUAGAUAUAUUCUUGUAGUGAAGGAAUCCCUACUAACUUACAUGUCGAAAAUACAAGUUCUUGUACCUAUAAUAUAUAAAAUGAAAUUAAAAAAAAUCAUUACAUUUGAAAUAGAUAUAAGUACUUGCACACACAUUUAUAUAACCAUUUAUUUAUUUUUAAAUACGGGGUAUUACAAGACCCAUAAGUGAACACACAUUGGAACAUUGGAGUUGUUUGAGUCACAACAACUGCAUGAUUUCAUUAAAAAUGAUCUGACAGCUCUGCGUGUGAUUUUCAAUUUUUUCAAAAUCCUAAUAUGUCACAGCCCGUUCCGAGAUUAUAUAAAUAUUGGGGACUUGAAAUGACAGAAUUACCCUUAGAGGGUAUUAAGGUAUGUAUGUGUGUAUGUUGGACAUAUUUCCUUCAUUCCUAAACUUUUGGAAACAAAUUAUUAAGUGGGAUUUAAAAUGUUGGAUUGUUUGUGUGGUUAGGGAACUAGGAAGAGAAAUGAAUGGUCAUGAUUUGUGAGGGAACACGCACACAUUUCCUUCUCUCUCACUCACCCUGUGUCUCUCUCUCUCUCUCUCUCUCCUCCUUUACGGAUCUCUCUCACUCUCUUUCUCUCGAAUUGUACGGCCACACCCAAGGACUCUCUAAACAUCACGGAUUGAAGCUAACAAGGUAUGGUUCUUCAUCAUUUUGACGUUCUGAGUUGAAUGGUACUAGUUUUAGGAAGUGAAACCCUCAAAAUCAUCGUGAAACCCUAACCCCAAAAUUGUGCACUGUUCAUGCACACGUAAAAUCUUGCAUUUCAGGAAAUUCUAAUCUUAUAGUAAGCUUAGUGAGGUCCCAAGGAAUUUCGGAGUGCUUCGUUUGAAGGUUUUGGACGUCAGGAUCGUCGGGUUCGAAGUUGGCCGAAUUGGAGGAUUUUCCCGACGAAAUUUCAGAGGUUUUUAAAGGUAUAGAUCCCUUCCCCUCUUAAUUUAGAGCUCGUAGGUGAAAAUUUCAUGAAAAAUGGUGAAGAAACGAGUGAGAAAGGUCGAGUUGCAGGUUUCCGGCGCCGGCGACACUGUGCUGGCGACGCGAGGAAGAAGAAGCGCGCGUGGGGGCGCGUAGGUCCGUGCCACCCACGGCGCGUGGGGCUGCGUGGAAAACCCAAAAAUUUUUCUAAAAAUUUGUCGACGUCUAUGACGUCGAGUAGGUCGAUGUGGUAUAUUCACAUACCCAAAUUGAGCACCGUAUGAGAAGUUAUUUCGAAUUGUUGAUUAUGUGUUUUAAUUAACGUUUCUAUAGUUGUUUUGCAUAUAGGUGACACCUAUCCCGAGGACGAGCGCAUCCAAGGACGUCACGGGGGUUACGACCAAUCGACUUACCAGUGAGUGGGCAGUUUUUGUUUUCGUAUUACCUAUAUACUAUUGAUUUUUUUCCCAUAAAAUGAAUUUAUAUGAAAAUACGUUUUAAAAUGCCAUGCAUGCAUAUUAUGAGAUAUUUGAAUUGAUAAUUGAUGCAUAUAUAUAUAUAUAUAUGAAUUGAUGUUGUGGACGCACAGGUGAGUGUUACAUUAUUCAUACGAUUUAUUUUAUGUGAAUUGCAUUGAAAGCUCAUAACUUGCACCCUUGGUGUUAGUGCUUAUAUUAUUCACUGCACCGCACGCUCGCCUUGGAUCCAAGUAGGUGAAUGUCAUACAUACCAUGUGAGGGUUCCGACAUGCUAGUCGUAUAGAUCGCUAGAGGUGAUUCCGACUAGUGGGUAACCUUAGUUUAUGCGUGCCGAUGAUUGAUGAGAGAAGCACUAGAGCAUAUUCUUACACCUUUCCAUCGUACAGACUACCUUACGUAGUUCCGAGUGACGUGCAGAGUAGGGCCGUAUAGGUCACUGUGGUGACUCCGGCUAGGGGGAAUACUGAGCUAUAGAAUUAGCCGUACAAGACCAUUGUAGGGUCUCCGGUUAUUUCAUUAUAUCACCUGUCAUAUUGAUGCAUCCAUAUUUUUAAUCAUUGACAUUAUUGCUUGGCAUAAUUACUGGAUUUUGAUAAACUUGAUGCUUUGAGCAAUUUGAGUAAAUAUUAUGCUACUAUGUUAUUUUUUGGGAAAGUAUACAGGUUUUACAGAGAGGGGUUAGAAAUGUUUUAAAUGAAAUGUUUUGGAAAAUCUUUGGUUUUACUGACCCACUCAACUUUGUUUUGCGCCCCUCCAGGUUCUAGUUAGCAGUUGGUGGCUCACGAGGUCCUUUUCGGCGUUCUGAUAGACGUCCUGCAUGUAGGACUCACCUGCGGGUGUUGUACUUUUAAUUAUAGUCCUACUUGACUGCACCUAGUAUCUACGCUCUGAAAUUGUGUGUUUUACUUUGUAACCUCACUCUAGUAUGCUAGUUGGUUAUUACUGCUAGUGGUUGGUUUAAAUUCCUUCAUAUUUCUCAUAUCUUUUGUUUCCGUGUCGCACUUUUGGCUACGUCACGCUCACGUGACGGCCAGCACGUCUUGAUUCUAGGAUUGGGGUGUGUCAUAAUAAAUCUAUGGAAGAAAUCUAUACAAAUCCACAAAAAUCAUAAUGAAAAUCCAUAUAAAUCUUCUAAAAUCCAUAGAGAAUUAUAAAGUCUAUUAAAAUCCUUUGAAAUCUAUCACUAAAAAAAAUUCAUUAAAAUUCUCUGAAAUCCAAAUUGACUACACCCCUAAAUGAUGUGUCACAAAUAUAAAUGAGUACGUUUAUCAACGCUUAAAUAAUAAACUAAUUAACAACUUCUAUGUUUUUGUUUUCAAAAUUUUAUUUGAUAAAUUUAAUUUCUAUAGCGUUACUCUUUAACAAAACAAUAUGUGAUUGCCCGGCCCAUGACUAGAUUUCGAAGUCAAUGUCAACGUUCGUCAGCAAUUACAUCACUCCAAAAUUUCUGAAAAAUCGAAGUAUGAGUUUUCUUGCUCCACGAGGACAGAAAGGGAUCCUUCCAUCUGAGCCAACCAGGCAUAAAAUCUAAAUCUUUAAAAUUUAAUCUUACGAUUAAAAUUAUUAUAAUUUUUAAUAUUUUUUUUUAUUUUUAAUCGUUAUAUCAAAUUUUAAGUGUUUAUAUUUUUUGCUUAGUUAGAAGGAAUCUGAAGAUUAUCCUUUCCCACCCUACAUUAUCCAACUCUCUAUAAAAUAUAGAAAAUAAUAAUUUAUUAAGCAAAGGCAUUUGCCCAUCGUCUGAUUGCUGACGAUUCACUAUGGAAACCUGGUUCCUUAUCCUCACCGCCCUCUGCGUCUCCUUCCUCCUCAAAGCCCUUCUUUCUCUAUUCCUACCCACUUCCAUCUCCAAACCCAAGCCCCCUCCUGGGCCCCGCUACAUCCCCAUCAUCAGCACCUUGUUAUUCCUCCUCAAAUCCUUCUCGGAGCUCGAGCCUAUCAUCCGCAAACUACAGGCCAAACACGGGCCCAUCAUCUCCCUCCGCUUCGGCUCCCGCUCCGCCGUCUUCAUCGGCGACCGCUCCCUCGCCCACCAAGCCUUAAUCCAGAACGGUGCCGUGUUCGCCGACCGCCCCCGGGCCUUGGCCACCAACGAGUACGUCAGCAGCAACCAGCACAACAUCAGCUCCGCCCGAUACGGCCCCACUUGGCGCCUCCUCCGCCGCAACCUCACUUCCGAAAUCCUCCACCCUUCCCGCGUCAAAUCAUACGGCAACGCCCGCAAAUGGGUUCUCGACAUCCUAGUCAACCGCCUCAAAACCGAGUCUCAAUCCCAGUCCGAAUGCGGCGGCGGCGGUGGUGUCAGGGUGGUCGACCACUUCCAAUACGCCAUGUUCUGCCUCCUGGUUCUGAUGUGCUUCGGUGACAAAUUGAACGAAGAGCAAAUCAAAGAAAUCGAGCGCGUUCAGCGCCAACAACUUUUGAGUUUCGGGCGGUUCAACAUCCUCAAUUUCAAGCCGAAAUUGACCAAGAUUCUCUUAAAAAAUCGGUGGCGGCAAUUCUUCAAAAUCCUCGAGGAACAACGAGAAGUGCUCGUCCCUCUGAUUCGAGCACGACAAAACAGGGCAAAACAGGGCAGCAAAAACGAUGACAAAGACGAUGAAUUUGUGUUGUCGUACACUGAUACGCUGCUGGACCUCGAGCUUCCCGACGGCAACGAAAAGCGGAAGCUUUCGGAGGGAGAAAUGGUCAGCCUCUGCUCAGAGUUUCUGAACGCCGGCACCGACACGACUUCCACCGCACUGCAGUGGAUCAUGGCCAACGUAGUCAAGUACCCACAAGUUCAGGAGAAGCUGUUUGCGGAGAUUAAAGGGGUUAUGGGGGAAACGGAGGAGGAGGUGCGGGAGGAGGUCCUGCAUAAGCUGCUGUAUCUGAAAGCCGUGAUCUUGGAGGGGCUGAGGCGCCACCCGCCGGGGCACUUUGUGCUGCCGCACGCGGUGACCCAUGACGUGGUUUUGGGCGGACACCUGGUGCCCAAGACGGGGAGUGUUAAUUUCAUGGUGGCGGAUAUAGGGUGGGACCCGCAAGUGUGGGAGGACCCCAUGGCGUUCAAGCCGGAGAGGUUCUUGGGCAGCGGCGGAGAAGAAGAAGGGUUCGAUUUGAUGGGGAGUAGGGAGAUUAAGAUGAUGCCGUUUGGGGCAGGGAGGAGGUCCUGUCCUGGGUCUGGAUUGGCGGUGCUUCACCUGGAGUACUUUGUGGCGAAUUUGGUGUGGAAAUUCGAGUGGAGAGCUAUGGACGGAGAUGACGUGGACCUGUCUGAGAAGCAGGAGUUUACUAUGGUGAUGAAGAAUCCAUUGCAAGCCAACUUAAUCCCAAGAAGUUGAUGUGUGCGAGAAUUCUGUUUUAAUUCUUCGACGCAUGUUUAGCUGUUAAACUCG
Molecule: long non-coding RNA, 43658 nt
Filed under: Malus domestica (apple)
Lineage: Eukaryota; Viridiplantae; Streptophyta; Magnoliopsida; Rosales; Rosaceae
Description: long non-coding RNA (MDOM_LNC001197)
Source: RNAcentral